This is a long non-coding RNA of Ostrea edulis (European flat oyster), 1317 nucleotides long. RefSeq lists it as uncharacterized. The record is from RefSeq and is a predicted model, not a curated record. The transcript has 3 exons. NCBI's taxonomy places the organism in Eukaryota, Metazoa, Mollusca, Bivalvia, Ostreida, Ostreidae.
GUUGUGGCCGAGUGGACUUGCUAGGCGGUUGGUGCCGUACGUCGCUGGUUCGACCCCGGGCUGGGGCGAAAAUUUUCAGUACCUAGUUGUGAUUAUUUAGUACUUUAUAUACAUUAAUUAAUUGAUUAUCACUUCAGUUCAAUGUAGUUUCAAUUUUACAGUUAUUUUCGUGUGUGCGCGUCCACAAGCAGCAAAUUCGCGAUCCAAGUAUCAGAAAUUCGCCGUGUUCCGAACAUUUUGCCAAUUGUGGUCAUGGAGAUUUUAACAUAUUUCCAUUUUAUAAAAUGUAUAAUGACUGCGAAAUUUUCAGAGUUGUCUAAUAUUGUGUGUAUUAUACCGCUACCAGUGUAAUUUAUUAUGACGUCACAAAGGACAAUUACUUACGUCGUGAUAUGUUAUUUAGCAAUAUUAUUUCAUUUUAUAACUGUCUGAAGAGGCAUUAAGGUAGAGACCGAUAGCAACCACGUGAUCAGUAAAAAUCGUGUAUUUUCACGUGAAAUUAUUUUUCGGAAUUCCGUACAUCGCCAUAGAGUAGUUGAAAAACAAAAAGGGGUUCCGAAAGUACAAGUUGUUGCUGUGACUGAAUCGAUGACUGAGAGGGUCGUCUCGACGAAAGAUAUAGAAAUUUGGCCAUAGUUUAGAUUAGGAAUACGUCAAUGUAAUAAUAGUGGACUAAAUGUUUCGUCCGUGCAGAAUGGCACUUUUUACCUCACGAAAUUCACCACCAUGCAUAGCUGCGCUACGUAAACAAAGUUGUUGAUGUAGCGUGAUCGUGAUGUCCGAGUGCUGCGAGUUUCAAUACUGUUUAUGUAGUCAUUGAGAGUUUAAACAAAGUUUCUUCUGAGAAGAGGAAUUCGAUGGAUGCAUUCAACGCGGACAACGAAAUCAUAAUUUCGUUUGCAUCAUCCUAAGGACCAGUGCAAGUUGAAAUGGGCUUCCAGCCAACAACUUCAACAGCAAUUUGCCAUGAAAAUCAGCAAGAAAGGUACUUCAUUUACAUUGAUGAUGUCAUAUCUCCUGGACCCCACAACUUUACAGGUUACAGAGAAAAUUCAAGAACUUCUGCAAAAUAUGGGACUUGGAUAGAAUCAAUAAUGUAUUUGUGAGCCCAGAGCAAUGGAUAUAUUGUGCAACAUACUAAAGUGUGAAUUUAAUGGAAAACAAGUACAUGUACUCAUGUAUUACAUGUCUUUUUUAAAGACAAUAAUAUUGUAUAAAUAUAGAGGAAGUGUCAUUGUUGAUUAUUCUAAGUUUUUGAUAUAUCAAAAUCAGUAAACAUUUCUAAAUGAAAAUAAAAUACCAAUUUUAUAACUUUAA